Molecule: long non-coding RNA, 3687 nt
Organism: Acipenser ruthenus (sterlet)
Lineage: Eukaryota; Metazoa; Chordata; Actinopteri; Acipenseriformes; Acipenseridae
Exons: 2
Source: RefSeq, a predicted model, not a curated record
UUGAAAAACAAUUUGGGUAAGAGCAGUAAAACAAAGUAUUAAACAAGGCAAACAAAAGGCACAAGCCACGGCACACUGUGUAAUUUUAACACUAUGUCACAUGACAGCCAUAAAUUCCAUGAUGUAGGUUUAUCGAGUACUGUGUUCUCUGUGCACGUAAACGAAGGUUACAUAUGUAACCGUACGAUUUGCUCCACAGCAUUUAUUUGCAUGAAAAUUGCACAAUCUGCACGCUGCAUUCUCCAUUACAGAUUUCUGAUGACUGCAGAAAGAGGAAGCAGGAGGAGGAGGCCGUGACUCAGAUUCAAGGAAAGGAGAGUGAACCUGGACCUGCUCCAGCACAGCACACUGUAUGUAAGAGCAGUGGAUCACCCGAGCCUGACCCACAGCCAGCCUGACACACAGACAGCAAAGACAUCCAAAAGACAUCCAGGAGACAGAUCUCUCAGCAAAAAUGUCCUUUUCUGAUCUCCUGUACCCUGACAACCCCAAAAGGCGUGAGAAGGUAAUACAGCUGCAGCAGGAAAUCUACUCUCUGAUGUCCAACAACUUUCGAGCCACCAACCGCCUUAUCAACACCAUUAACGACCACCUCCACUUAGAUUUCCCAAUCAUCAGCAUCCAGGAGAAAGGCACAGUGCAGGAAAACUGCAAUAUAUUAAUCAACUCCAUGAGGAACAUCCAAAAAGAGGUGGAGAAAAUCGACGAGAAGCUGAAAGAGAAACUGGAGCCAGAAGCCUACAAGAAGCUCCAUACCUGAACCUGCCGCAUGAGCAGAAAAAAGCUUUGUUGCGUCUUGUUGUCCCAAUCAUAGGGUCUAUAAGCACUGUUGCUGGAAUAGUACUUAUCACACUCAUUGUUAAGGGGGUUAUUCUGACCGGUAUGGUAGUAGCGAUUGGCACUGUAGCUACUUGUGGGAUAGCAGGGCUGGCCUUGGCUGUAGUAUUCAUAGGGGUUGACUUAAUAGCAAGUGCCAUUAUGGGUGCAGUGGAGAGGGACAAACUAGAACAUGAAAUAAGUGAAUAUGAAAAAGCCCUGGAUACAUUCAGGCCAGCAUCACUUAAAUACCAGGAAGAUAUCUUCUACGCCAUCAUAAAAAUAGAAAAUAUUUAAUGGGCAAACACUAGGGUGACCAGAUGACUCUAUAGGGAUUUUAACACUCCCCUUAAACUGAAUGCAAAGAAGCUGUAAAUUAAGCAUUGACACCUUUGCUUAAUUGAGUGUUGUUGCCUUUACGGUGUACAGCAACAGUAAUAAUGAUGUAAAACAUCUGCAAUUCUGAACAUGUUUCACUAGCUUCUCUUCUGUGAAUUAAAAAUAAGUGGCCCUAGUGUAGGGUUGCCACCUUUUCCACAAACCAAAACCGGACAUAUUUCUCAAUUAGCCUAUCAAACACCAUACUAUCAGAUCCUGGUACAUAUCAAUAACAUCAUACUGUUGGUAUUUUUAGCAGUCGAACUUGCAGGCCAUAGUGGAUACAGUAAAGUAAUUCCUGCCUGGUUGCACAUUUCGCUAGUUCAGUAUCGUGUACAUAACUGUGUAACACCAUUGAAAACUCACAGAAAAACUCAAUCAUUCAUACUUUCUGUCUACGGUACCCACGUUUGCUCUUAUAUAGUGUAUUAUACAGUACAUUACUUUUAAUGGACAGAAAUCUUUAAUUUAGUGUCUGCUAAAUGUCUAUAAUAAUAAUAAUAAUAAUAAUAAUAAUAAUAAUAAUAAUAAUAAUAAUAAUAAUAAUAAUAAUCAUAAUCAUAAUAAUUAAUACAUGUUAACAGUAUGUAUGCUUUGCCUUUGUAUGCAUUUCACCUAAAACCGGACAUUCGGGUUUGUUAAUUGGCACCCGGACACAGAUGCCAAGAACCGGACUGUCCGGGUGAAACCCGGACGGGUGGCAACCCUACCCUAGUGACACGCACUGAUGCUGAAAUCAGUAUCUGAUUGGUCCAAUCAACUGCAGGAAUUGUUAACAGCUAAUUAGUAUUCCGGGUUUACAUGGCAUGGUAAUUUAACAACAAUACUUAUUUACACAGAGGUGUAAUGGUUCAUUCAUACGUUCUCCAGACCCUAUCCGCAGCAUCCCGGCAUUAUGGAGUCAUCUGGUCACCCUAGCAAACACCCAAUCCAUGUAGAGCUCAGCAUGUGACUAUUUUUCAAUAUUGCUUUCGCGUUAUUUCUUGAACUUCUGUUCCCACCUGCAACAAGGCAUAGAGAUCCUGCAAAUCCCACAAGACAGAAAUAUUCCCCACUGAGAGCCCCUUCCCUCAGCUGUGUUCAUCUUGCUUCCAUGCCCCUGGGCACUACCGACUCCCACCCACCUCUGCGUCAUUUUCUUGCAUUUUAGAGCAAACAUAUUCUGUAUACACUUUGAUAACCUUAAACAUAUUGACUUCAAAACUUUGACCCACCCACUAAUAGCAAACAACUCAGAAUUGAAUGGCGGUUGGUUUUGUGAGUAGAAGAAAACGCCUUCUUUUGAACAAUCACACCGCUAUUAAGUACAGAUUUAUCAUUUGUGAUAAGAGGGGUGAGUCAAAGUUUUGAUUUAAUCUGGCCCCAGGUUUUUAAAUAACAUAUUUACUUUUACUUUCAAAGAUCAUGAAUUUGGUGUUUUUCUGCAAAUUACCCCUUUUUUUUUUGUUUACCCAACCAAUCCCACCCACUACAACAUAUAUUCGACCCGCUACUGCUCUAUGGCAGCGGCCUGUACAGGAUCCCAGUCCAGUUGCAAGUUUAAAUUCCAUUCAUUUUACGAUAUUGCUACAUAGUUUCCUGGUUUUUGUUUUGUUUUUUUGCUCCCCUUCAUUAGAAGAAUCUAUGUAAAUGGCAAAAUCCCUUUCAUGGGCAGCUUCCGAUGGCUCAGAAUAACCCAUGUGAUAUGCGUAGUGUAUGUUCCCACUUCCUGUUUGGAUUACUUUGCACUUAUCAACAUUAAAUGUCAUUUCAUAAGUGUCUGUUCAAUCCAUGAUUUUGAUCCCCAAUCCUGUUCCUGGAGGAGCCGCAGUCCAACAUGUUUUCUAGAUCUCCAAAAUGACCAGCACCUUCAGAACUGGGAAGAGUAGCUAAAUUGGUCCAAUUAGAACAAGACUUAGUUGAAUUAGGUAGUUCAGCCCACAGCUGGAAUGAAAAUCUGAAGACACCUCGGCCCUCCAGGACCAGGAUUGGGGACUCCUGGUCUAAGUCAUUUAGUAAAUUCCUUGCUGUUUGCCACUUCCCCACUUUGUAUCAUCUGUAAAUUUAACUAGUUUGCUAUCUAUACCAGAAUCGAAAUAAUUUCAUAUAGAUCAGAAAGAGCAACAGAUGUAAAACAGACCCCUGUGGUACACUGCUGCUUACACUGGCCCUGAUAGAGGUUACGACCCUUAAGAUGAAUCACUGUUCCCUGUUUCUCAACCAGUCCAUGUGAAGACAUUACCUUGGAUUCCUACAGUUUUUAAUUAAGAAUUCACCUUUUAUGACAUUAAACACGAUGUAAAUUUUGGCAAUUUUUCUGUUUUCUUUUUGUCUUUGUAUUUCACACAAUUAAGAAAGCAGUUAUUAUUACGUUAUUGAUGCAUAUCACAAACACCUGUCACUGUCAUUCAGUGAGCAACUGUUUAGACUCUAUUUGUAGUGCAGCAAAACUUUUGGGUCAUUUGCCAAAAACCUUGACCUCCUUUGAUUUCAAUAAAACAAAAUUGUAAUGAA